Scylla paramamosain (green mud crab) is the source of this 2100-nucleotide long non-coding RNA. RefSeq lists it as uncharacterized. The transcript has 2 exons. NCBI's taxonomy places the organism in Eukaryota, Metazoa, Arthropoda, Malacostraca, Decapoda, Portunidae. The record is from RefSeq and is a predicted model, not a curated record.
GAGAGUUACCGGACAGACAAACCUAUCCUAGAGUUUUGCUUGAGUUACUGCUCCUGCGUCACCUUCAUCAUUAGUGAUGGUCUGGGAAUGUGUAGGGAAUAGUACAGCGACAUAUGAAUAAUAAUAAUAAUAAUAAUAAAAAAGAAAAAAAAAGUUCGGAAUAAAAGUAGAGAUAAACUACAGAUUAUAGCUGAACUUCCUUAUCAGGAAGAUUUAGUCUACAGCAGCAACGUAAAACGUAUUACAUAAUUUUGUGCAUAUUGCCCAAUGUCACUAAUGAGUGUUUUUAUCCUCUUCGCCAGCCACGAUAUGGAGUUUUUGGCCCCCUUCUGUAUUUGGUUGUCCUCAGUGUCCUGGCUUGUGCUGGCAUUCAUGGCUUCGUUGGAGGGUACUUCGGGUUAGUCUCUAUUGCCUUGUUGCUUGAAUUUAAGAUUUUUACCUUGAAAAUGAAAUAUUGUUUGAAUGUGACACUUUCUCUUGACCAUAUGUGUCAGUACUUCAGAUAUCGGCAUAAGUAUCACAAUAACAGCCGUGCUGUCACCUGGACACAGCCGUGAAGGACAGCUGGGAUGCUGACGCGACCACGGCGGUGAGAAACGUUCUGCUGGCGUCAUCAGAAGGUGACUCGUCUCUCAUCAUUAUUGCAGAAAACAGAUUGAUGGUGAGGCUUUGCGUUUUGUCGUUUGUGGAUGAGAUAGUUUUAAAUCUUAGGGUUCAAUGAAUACUGGCUUGAUGAAACAAUGAUAAUUAUUCUAGAUUGGAGUAGAAACAUUCAUCGGGGCCUUUCGAGGCGUGGCGGUGUUUGAGGAGGCCACGAAUGGGUCGCAGCUCUCCCAGGUGGUCACGCAUGCCCGUCAGGUGCGGGUGGCAUCGUGGAUGGUCGUGGUGGUGGUGGUGAGUGACAACCCAGUCUUCCUGGCCGCCUUCGCCCAACAGGCCCGUGAGGGUCGCCUGCUGGUGUGGGCCACGAGGCUCAUUGUGGUGAGCCGCCGCGCCCCACACCGCCUCCACCCGCUCCACCAGACUCUCGCCCUUACCAACUCCCUCCUGCUGCUGGUGGAUGGCGCGGCGGGGGUGAGCAGGUGUGUGUGUGUCUAUGUGGAGGCUGUGCUGCACACAGACAAGCCUCUCAUGUACUGUACUGUUUUCAUGACCACCAUGUGACUGUCUGGUUCUCUGUAUGCUUGUGAACACUGUCACAGCCAAGCAGAGUACCGCUGUUCCAGGGCUGCUGGUUGGGUGGUAAUGCCAUACCAACGACCUGGCGUCGCCCCGCUGCGGGUUGCCUCCUGGACGGCGAAGGGCAACCUUUCAUUGCAUCGGCCGCUCUUCUGGGACAAAUUUAGCAAGUGGGUCGUAGUAUUCCUUUAUGUAACAAUGAAAUGAUGGCUGUUUAAGAAUACAUAUGAAACAAAAUUUGAAAACCAUGGAGACUUCUUUCUUCCUUAGAAGUGAACAUAACACUAAAUUUAGUUUCUCAUGCUUCUUUCUUCCAAUCAUACCCCUUCAUAGGCUCUCUGGUGAAACGAAUUUACUGGUGACAUUGGAAACAAGCCACAGGCAUUCAGUGGUGAUGCAUCCAGACCCGACGGCCCCUGGAGGCGUGCGGUUGGAGUUCAGGGGUUUCAUGGUCACUGUUCUCGACUAUUUUGCGCAAGGAAUCAACUUCUCGUAAGGGAGAGAAUCUCCUACGAAAAUGACUUUUAUUGAAGAUACAUUUUCAUAUCUGACACCAUGAUAUUACAUACUUGAAAUUUUAUCAUUAUGAAUGCAUGAGAAUUUUAUGAAGAGGUGCAGGUCUAGCUUAAUGAUAGCAUUUGUUGUUCGUCUGUGGCGUGGAAGGUACACGUUCGAGCGAGCGCCAGACCAGUCUUGGGGCGCCAAGAUGCGAGAUGGGUCCUUUACGGGCAUGCUGGGUCUGGUCAACAGGGAGGUAUUACUACACACGCACGCACGCGCACGCACGCACGCACACACACACACACGCACACAAGCGCACACACACACACACACACACACACACACACACACACACACACACACACACACACACACACACACACACACACACACACACACACACACACACACACACGCACA